This 348-nucleotide ribosomal RNA is filed under the name uncultured bacterium. Its description in RNAcentral is "bacterial SSU rRNA". It matches the Rfam family "Bacterial small subunit ribosomal RNA", at positions 8 to 349 of the family's 1533-position model. The record is from RNAcentral.
AGAGUUUGAUCCUGGCUCAGGAUGAACGCUAGCUACAGGCUUAACACAUGCAAGUCGAGGGGCAUCAGUUUGGUUUGCUUGCAAACCAAAGCUGGCGACCGGCGCACGGGUGAGUAACACGUAUCCAACCUGCCUCAUACUCGGGGAUAGCCUUUCGAAGAAAGAUUAAUAUCCGAUAGCAUAUAUUUCCCGCAUGGGUUUUAUAUUAAAGAAAUUCGGUAUGAGAUGGGGAUGCGUUCCAUUAGUUUGUUGGCGGGGUAACGGCCACCAAGACUACGAUGGAUAGGGGUUCUGAGAGGAAGGUCCCCCANAUUGGAACUGAGACACGGUCAAACUCCUACGGGAGCA